AUACGUAGGGAGCGAGCGUUAUCCGGAAUUACUGGGCGUAAAGGGCGCGUAGGCUGUGCUUCAAGUCGUCUGUCAAACAAUAAGGCUCAACCUUAUUUUGCAGACGAAACUGUGGCGCUGGAGAAGCAGAGAGGCAAACAGAAUUCCUGGUGUAGCGGUGAAAUGCGUAGAUAUCAGGAAGAAUACCAGUGGCGAAGGCGGUUUGCUGGCUGCAGACGGACGCUGACGCACGAUAGCCGGGGCAGCUAACGGGAUUAGAUACCCCGGUCGACGUGUCAGUAAACGAUUUAUGCGUGGUGUGGGAGUAGCGAUACGCCCGUGCCGAAGUGCAAGCGAUAAGGAUACCGGCUGGGGAGUACGGUCGCAAGAUGGAAACUUAAAGGAAUUGACGGGG
RNAcentral lists this ribosomal RNA (394 nucleotides) under uncultured bacterium. RNAcentral's name for it is "partial 16S ribosomal RNA". It matches the Rfam family "Bacterial small subunit ribosomal RNA", at positions 523 to 918 of the family's 1533-position model. The record is from RNAcentral.